GAUGAACGCUAGCUACAGGCUUAACACAUGCAAGUCGAGGGACCGGCGCACGGGUGAGUAACACGUAUCCACCCUUCCCUUUACUCGGGGAUAGCCUUUCGAAAGAAAGAUUAAUACCCGAUGUAAAGGAUGGGGAUGCUUUCCAUUAGGUUGUUGGUGAGGUAACGGCUCGCCAAGCCUUCGAUGGAGAGGGGUUCUGAGAGGAAGGUCGCCCAGAUUGAAACUGAGACGCGGACCAAACGCCUACGGGAGGCAGCAGUGAGGAAUAUUGGUGAAUAGGCGUUAGCCUGAACCAGCCAAGUAGCGUGAAGGAUGAAGGCUUAUGGGUCGUAAACUUCUUUUAUAUAAGAAUAUGUAUUUUAUGAAUAAGGAUCGGCUAACUCCGUGCCAGCAGCCGCGGUAAUUC
Molecule: ribosomal RNA, 406 nt
Filed under: uncultured bacterium
Lineage: Bacteria
Description: partial 16S ribosomal RNA
Rfam family: Bacterial small subunit ribosomal RNA
Source: RNAcentral